AUACAUGCAGUCGAGCGAACUGAUUAGAAGCUUGCUUCUAUGACGUUAGCGGCGGACGGGUGAGUAACACGUGGGCAACCUGCCUGUAAGACUGGGAUAACUUCGGGAAACCGAAGCUAAUACCGGAUAGGAUCUUCUCCUUCAUGGGAGAUGAUUGAAAGAUGGUUUCGGCUAUCACUUACAGAUGGGCCCGCGGUGCAUUAGCUAGUUGGUGAGGUAACGGCUCACCAAGGCAACGAUGCAUAGCCGACCUGAGAGGGUGAUCGGCCACACUGGGACUGAGACACGGCCCAGACUCCUACGGGAGGCAGCAGUAGGGAAUCUUCCGCAAUGGACGAAAGUCUGACGGAGCAACGCCGCGUGAGUGAUGAAGGCUUUCGGGUCGUAAAACUCUGUUGUUAGGGAAGAACAAGUACGAGAGUAACUGCUCGUACCUUGACGGUACCUAACCAGAAAGCCACGGCUAACUACGUGCCAGCAGCCGCGGUAAUACGUAGGUGGCAAGCGUUAUCCGGAAUUAUUGGGCGUAAAGCGCGCGCAGGCGGUUUCUUAAGUCUGAUGUGAAAGCCCACGGCUCAACCGUGGAGGGUCAUUGGAAACUGGGGAACUUGAGUGCAGAAGAGAAAAGCGGAAUUCCACGUGUAGCGGUGAAAUGCGUAUAGAUGUGGAGGAACACCAGUGGCGAAUGCGGCUUUUUUGGUCUGUAACUGACGCUGAGGCGCGAAAGCGUGAGAGAGCAAAAAAGCACUACAUCCCCCGGUGGUCCUCCCCGUU
RNAcentral lists this ribosomal RNA (774 nucleotides) under Priestia megaterium. Its description in RNAcentral is "bacterial SSU rRNA". It matches the Rfam family "Bacterial small subunit ribosomal RNA", at positions 51 to 804 of the family's 1533-position model. Lineage: Bacteria; Bacillati; Bacillota; Bacilli; Caryophanales; Bacillaceae. The record is from RNAcentral.